This 68-nucleotide transfer RNA is filed under the name Sodalis glossinidius str. 'morsitans'. It matches the Rfam family "tRNA". Rfam says of the family: Transfer RNA (tRNA) molecules are approximately 80 nucleotides in length. The record is from Rfam by way of RNAcentral. Lineage: Bacteria; Pseudomonadati; Pseudomonadota; Gammaproteobacteria; Enterobacterales; Bruguierivoracaceae.
GGGUUGUUAGCUCAGUUGGCAGUGGACUCUUAAUCUAUCGGUCGCAGGUUCGAGCCCUGCACAACCCA